UUCUCUACUUAAAGUGUGUUGAACUUUAUUUUUUUAAGAGAAUCCAGAUCAACCCACCACUCUCCGGACCCCAUUGCGUGAGCUAAAUGGACAUCGCAGUGUGGUGAUUGCAGCUGAUUGGUUGAACUUCGGUGGUCAGGCGAUAACUGCAUCCUGGGAUAGAACUGCCAUCUUGUUUGACGCAGAAACUAGGGCAAACUUGACUGUUCUCAAAGGUUUUCGAACUCAGGACUAAGCGCCAUUUCUUUUAAUACAUCAUUUAUAUGGAGCGACCAGGGACUGACAGACGUAAGGGUCCACCCUUGUUGUGACCUCAUCCAAGGAUACAACCUUCCGACUUUGGGACUUCAGGGACACUAACAUGCCUGUCACGGUGUUCCUAGGCCACAACCAACCAGUUACAACGGCAGCCUUUGCUGGUAAUGAGAAGGUGGUUUCGGGCAGCGAUGAUCGUACAGUGAAAGUCUUGGAUCUGAAGUACAUGCGGUCACCAAUAUCCACCAUCCGUACUGACUCAUCUGUGAACAGGGCCACUCAAAAAUGGUGUGCACUGUAGCCUAGCCUGGACCGAGGAAAAUCCGGUGUGUAACCUUUUCUCGUGCGGCUUCGACAGACAGGUCCUAAGUUGGAGCAUCAAUGUCCAGAUCAAGGAAUGAAAAGAGUCAGUUAUGGAUAGUUCUGAAGAAACAUGAGCCUCGUUCAUGGACAACUGGGAUUAAUGCAUGGGACAGCACUCUCCGCCUUAACUGGAUUUUUGCUAAAGAGAUGCUUUCUUCAAACGAAAAAAUACAAACAAGUGAAAAGUGUUGUCUCUGAUAAGCCUGUGCAGAUUUCUCAGGCUAAUCUGUAGAGCUGUAACGAUUCGGUUCGAUGCAUCGAAAAACCGAUUCAAUGCCGCCGAUUCGAUUUCGAUACCAAUACGGCCAAUUUGGAUUCGAUUCACUGCAAUCCCGAUUGAUCCGCAUUUGAAACCUUACUUUCCAAAUCCGUCGUCUAAACGUUCUUGUCAUUUGUAAUACGGCUUGUGAUUGGUCAAUAGCCAAUAUGUCAUCCAAUGAAUGAAUAAAUACCAUGCUGAGCAUUACAUCAACCGGUAAAAUGGCUUUUUCAACCACGCCGAAAGAUGCACGUCAAAAUUAAAAUCAAAAGUAUGGGAACAUUUCGGGUUUUGGCGAAGGUUCUGAUGCGAAGGCAACUUGCAAAACGUGUUUUGUUGAUGUAAGUUACCCACAUGGUUUGUUUACUUAACUGUGUGCAUUCUGUUAAGAAGUCAACUGGAAGUUGUUUAUUCACUUACUUUUUUUUUUCUUCUGUUAAACACAUGAUACAUUUAGCAUUCUGUGUUAUUUAAGAACAACUCAACAGGAAGUUUUGUUCAAUAAAUUUGUUACUUAUAAAACAAUGUUGCGUUUUUAUAUUUUAUUUAAAAACUUAAACACUUUAAAUGUACAAUGUAUAAGUUAAUAACAAAUACCAAACAUAUUAAUUCAUGCUCUGGACAAACCAAACAUGAAAUAGUUUGCAAAAUAAGCAGCAAAUAGUUUUAUUUGAAUCGAAUCGAAAAUAAUCGAAUCGGACCAUUUUGUAUCGAAAUCGAAUUGAAUCGAAUGAUGGGUGAAUUGUAACAGCUCUGGGGCGACACAUGCGUUAAGCCCAAUGUUCCCUUAAGAAGGCUCAUAUUAUCUGGAGAAAUUAAAUUGUUCUUGUUCUAAAUACAUUUUAUUCCAUGCUUACAUGGAAGAGUGUGUUUUCAAUACCAAACUAUGAAAGGAUUUGUUUUCUGUCAUUGCUUGUCACCAAAUUCAAGGUAGAUAUAGAAAAUAUUAUUAAGUUUUUUUUUCUCAAUUUAUUUUGUUAAUGUUA
This is a long non-coding RNA of Dreissena polymorpha, 1863 nucleotides long. RefSeq lists it as uncharacterized. The record is from RefSeq and is a predicted model, not a curated record. Lineage: Eukaryota; Metazoa; Mollusca; Bivalvia; Myida; Dreissenidae. The transcript is spliced from 4 exons.